UCCGGGAUGGUCUAACGGUUAUGAUUUCCGCUUGUCAGCUUCUUCGGUCGCAAGCGCGGGAGACCGGGGUUCGACUCCCCGUCGCGGAG
Uncinocarpus reesii 1704 is the source of this 89-nucleotide non-coding RNA. Lineage: Eukaryota; Fungi; Ascomycota; Eurotiomycetes; Onygenales; Onygenaceae. The record is from the annotation of a RefSeq genome assembly.